AUACGUAGGGAGCGAGCGUUGUCCGGAAUUACUGGGUGUAAAGGGAGCGUAGGCGGGAGUGCAAGUCAGAUGUGAAAUACAUGGGCUCAACCCAUGGGCUGCAUUUGAAACUGCAUUUCUUGAGUGAAGUAGAGGCAAGCGGAAUUCCUGGUGUAGCGGUGAAAUGCGUAGAUAUCAGGAGGAACACCGGUGGCGAUGGCGGCUUCCUGGGCUUUUUCUGACGCUGAGGAUCGAAAGCUUGUGGAGCAAAUAGGAUUAGAUACCCUGGUAGGCCACGCUGUAAACGAUGAUUACUAGGUGUGGGGUGACUGACCCCUUGCGUGCCGCAGUUAACACAAUAAGUAAUCCACCUGGGGAGUAAGGCCGCACGGUGGAAACUCAAAUGAAUUGACGGGG
This 396-nucleotide ribosomal RNA is filed under the name uncultured bacterium. RNAcentral's name for it is "partial 16S ribosomal RNA". It matches the Rfam family "Bacterial small subunit ribosomal RNA", at positions 523 to 918 of the family's 1533-position model. The record is from RNAcentral.